This 952-nucleotide ribosomal RNA is filed under the name uncultured organism. RNAcentral describes it as "bacterial SSU rRNA". It matches the Rfam family "Bacterial small subunit ribosomal RNA", at positions 470 to 1438 of the family's 1533-position model. The record is from RNAcentral.
UGACGGUACCCUUUCGAAUAAGAGGUUGCUAACUCUGUGCCAGCAGCAGCGGUAAUACAGAGACCUCGAGCGUUAUCCGGAUUUACUGGGCGUAAAGCGUCUGUAGGGGGUUUGUUAAGUUCCAAGUAAAAUCUUAAGGCUCAACUUUAAGUUCGCUUGGAAAACUAAUAAACUGGAGUCCAGCAGAGGUGCAUGGAACUUGCGGUGUAGGAGUGAAAUCCGUUGAUAUCGCAAGGAACACCAAAGGCGAAGGCAUUGCACUGGGCUGGUACUGACCCUGAGAGACGAAAGCGUGGGGAGCAAAACGGAUUAGAUACCCGUGUAGUCCACGCCGUAAACGAUGGAUACUAGAUGUUCGGGGAUUCGACCCCCUGGGUGUCACAGCUAACGCGUUAAGUAUCCCGCCUGGGAAGUACGGCCGCAAGGCUAAAACUCAAAGGAAUAGACGGGGAUCCGCACAAGCGGUGGAGCGUCUGGUUUAAUUUGAUAGUAAGCAAUGGACCUCACCAAGGUUUGACAUCCUAUGACAACCCUGGAAACAGGGCUUCCUUCGGGCAUAGUGACAGGUGCUGCAUGGUCGUCGUCAGUUCGUGCCGUGAGGUGUUCCGUUAAGUCGGAAAACGAACGAAACCCUCGUCGCAUGUUACAAAUUUCAUGCGAGACUGCCCGGGUCAACCGGGAGGAAGGCGGGGAUGACGUCAGAUCAGCAUGGCCCUUAUACCUUGGGCUACACAGGCGCUACAAUGGCCGGUACAAAGGGUUGCAAAACCGCGAGGUGAAGCUAAUCCCAUAAAGCCGGUCCAAGUUCGGAUUGGAGGCUGCAACUCGCCUCCAUGAAGUUGGAAUCGCUAGUAAUCGUGGAUCAGCCAUACCACGGUGAAUACGUUCCCGGAUCUUGUACUCACCGCCCGUCACACCAAGAGAGUUGGUAGCUCCUGAAGCGUCGCAUUAG